Long non-coding RNA from Vidua chalybeata, 336 nucleotides. RefSeq lists it as uncharacterized. Lineage: Eukaryota; Metazoa; Chordata; Aves; Passeriformes; Viduidae. The record is from RefSeq and is a predicted model, not a curated record. The transcript has 3 exons.
CACAGCUCUGCCAUGGGGAAAGACAGCAACCUCUGUGCAGCAUGUUCCAAUCUUGAGUAAAACGUCCAUCUGAGCAACAUCACAGGCAAAGAGACAAGAUCCUGAAGACUUCAUGAUGAUGCCGACUUCCUUCUUCUCUAAUUGUCCAAUUAGUCAUGAUGCUACAAAGGGAGCUGUUAGUGCCAUAUGGAAUGCAAGAUGCUGAAGACACCAAGCUUUUUCUCCCUCUCAUGAAGAACAGACCAUAAGUAGUUUUGGACAUCUAUUUUUCUAUGCUGUGUGAAAAGUGAACCUGAAAUUAACUGAUGUAAAUGAAAAUAUUUGCAGAGGGGGAAC